This 3761-nucleotide long non-coding RNA is filed under the name Sus scrofa (pig). RNAcentral describes it as "lncRNA (ENSSSCG00025051354.1)". Lineage: Eukaryota; Metazoa; Chordata; Mammalia; Artiodactyla; Suidae. The record is from RNAcentral.
UUUUUUUUUUUUUUUUUUUUUUUGCCUUGUAGUUGGAAAACUGGAUGCAGGACUGACUUUUCUUUUAGCUGUUGCCUGUGACAAAUUUCUUGACCAUAGCUUGAGUCUACAUUGGAAAACACUGUCUUGUCUUUUGGUAGUGGUUGGAGAAGCAAUUUAACAUAGUUUUUAUAAAAACUGAUAAUGCUGCUUAUUCAUUCUGAACUUUGGCAAAAUAUCUUCACUGCUAAGCAAAGCAGGUGCAUCUGAGGUGUCGUUGACAUUUCUGCAAAAUGUCACCACCAAGUUAAUAGCUGACGUGUAUGAAUCACUUCCAGGAACCAGAUUUUAAGCGCAAGAGAGUGUUAUGAAUGUAACUAUCUAUUAUGAUGUUUUCUAAGCUCAACAAAGCAAAUUGUAUGAGUUGGAAUUACUUUGUUUAACUUAUUACCCAGGUGAUUAUUAAGAGAAGGCAGUGGUGUUAAUAAUAACAUUUUGGGAUGUGGAUUAGAAUGAAAAUUGCAUCACUGAGGAACUAAAGUUUAACCGUGAGUAUUUUAAUCCUUGCAGUCUUCUUAGGAAAUAACAGUGUUUUCUGUUAGAUUUAUUUCUUUUGCCUGGUUUUCUGCCACAAACGAAGAGAUGAUUCUUUGCUGGUCUAAUGAGAUUAAAUAUUGAAAAAAAAAAAAACAACAGAAAGAGAAUAAAAUUAAAAUGUGCAUUGACAAAAUCUAGGCCAGUGAUCUUUAAUUGCUGACAAAGCAAAAACAUAACUUUAGGCAAGUAGUUCUUGUCCUAAGCAUUUGUGAGACUCUCGUUUUAUAGGAAUCUUUAGUGCAGGAUGGGGCUCAGCACUACCUUAGCCUCAGGCAGGGGGCUCUGCAUUGCUGCCGGGCUGAGCAGGAAAGGAUGCUGCAGCCCAGGCCCUCUUUGCAGCUCUUGGCUUCUGCCCAGCAUGUUGGAGGAUUGUGGUGUCAGGAGGCUCCAAGUCCAAUCUUAAAUCUUCCUGAACAGCUGUGGGGUCUUGACUAAGUCUCUGUCUUCCUUUAGGCAUCUCUAAUCUGUUAAAAGAGGGAGGGGCAGAAGAAAAUGAUCCCACAGGCCCUUUCUCGUCCUGACAGUCUAUGAAUCUGUAUAGAACAGUCUGGGCUCCACUGAAUAACCUAAUCACUGUUUAAUGCUGAAUUGUCCUGUGGGGUCAUGUUACAGUUAAAUGACUCCAAAUUGCCAUGGUCACACCCAGAGUGCAGAAUGGAUUCUCUUUAUUGUAUCAUAAAGAUAGGAGAGCCAGAGGCUGCCCGCGCCUUCCCCCAUCUGCUCCAGCAGCUCAGGAGCCACUCUGUUCACAGCGCAGCUCCCACUCAGGCUUGUGUUUCUGUACUUCAAGCAGCUGUGUGCAGGAGCAUUUUGAUAACAAGGUCACUUCUUGUGAAUCGCUUAUCAAGGAGUUUUUGUUGUUGUACCUGCAUUAUGGCCUGAUUUGAGGCAUCUAGGUUAGUUAUCUUAACAGUGUGUUAAAUAUGAAAAUAAAAAAUAAACAUGUAAAGACUUUAAUUUACUGUAUCAUAGUAGGCCGUCAGACUUGGUUGUCAAAAUACCCAGGUCUUAAAAUGGUAUAAUUUCCAUAGGUAAUGUUGCCACUUAAAAUAAGUUUUACAGCCUUUAGAAUGUUAUAUAUAAUGCAAAACAUGCAAGUUCCUGAUUUAGAUCUCAUAAUUUUCAAACUGGUCCCUUUCAUAACACGUCAUGCCAUAACCCUUGAAUGUGAAGAGUUUGUGGAUUUGCACUGUCUGAAACUCUGCUUUUUCUUGGAAAACCAGUCAAUCCCAGGAAAAGUUUCUCCUGGAAAUGCAGUUUCCCUGUAGGGCUGACAAGGCGUUCAUCCCAACCAUUGUCCAUUGGUAAGUAAAUUUGCCAUCACUAGAGCCACAGGCUUUAAAUAGUUUGCAAUAGAUUCAAGUUUAACAGCCAUUAGAUUGAUCAAUGGCCUGAAAUUUGAGAAAAACACAAAAAGCUCCAGCUGAUGUAUCAGUUCAUUGCCAUUCCUGAGCCCAUUGAGUGUAAAUCUGUCCAUAAGACUGAGUCUUUUCAAAUGCAGUUGUUGGAGUUCCGUGGUGGCUCAGCAGGUUAAGGAUCUAGCAUUGUCACUGCUGUGGCUCUGCUUACUACUGCGGUGUGGGUUCCAUCCCUGAUCCGGGAAUUUCUGCAUGCCUUAGAUGCAGCCAAAAAAAUGCAGUUGUUAAGCAUAUGGUAGUUUUUGCUCAUGUAAUUUAAUUUGCCUGUUUUAUUUGCUUAUUUUAGAUGUUUGGGAUACUGUUUUCUUGAUUUCCUUAAAGUGGAAUGUCCCUGCAUUUUUGGGAGUGGAAAAAGAACUGAUGAGGAUGACAGCAAAUCCAUUGCCCAUAUGAGUGGGACCAGUUCCACAAGGUCAACCCAGAUGCAGAACGGUUGCAGUGGUUAGAUCCAAAACAUCCCCGGCGUGGCCUUCAUUGUACGUGACUUGUUAGCUUCUUACCUAGAGUGGGGCAUCCUACAGAUGCUGUCGUGUGGAGAGUUACAGCAUGUAGAAUCUAAAUCUUACCCUGGGGUCCUUUUAGAAGGUCAGCUCUUUUUUGCUGUGUUUCAAUGAAAACGUUGUGCCCUCUGGUUAAAUACACCUGUUUUGUCCUGACAAAAGUCUUAGCGGAUAAAUGUUUUUAAAUUGGUUAAAAAAAUAAAAUCACAUGCUCAGAUCAAAGCUAUACAAGACAUUCACUGACAUUAUUAGAUUCAUACGGUUGCCAACUUUGUAGCUAAACUAUAACAUCUACUUCCAAUAUUCAAUACUAGAAAACUAGUCAAAGGGGGUGACCAUCCUUGCUUUGCUGUCAAUUAGCCUUGUGGUCUUGGACAUAUCACCAGCCAGGUUUGAUCCAUUUCCUCGUCUGUAAAACAAGCAGUUUGGCCUUUUGGGCCUGGGGCACUCUCAGCUCUGUAGGUCAUUAAGCAGUGGGAAGAACAGCUUGGUGACCCACGUUAAUGAGGACCCUCGUCACCCGUACUUUUUAAAUAUUGGAGUAUUGGAAGUUUUUGUUAGGGCUCAGUGGUAACAAACCCAACUAGUGUCCACGAGGCUGCGGGGUCGAUCCGUGGCCUCACUCAGUAGGUGAAGGGUCCAGCAUUGCCGUGAGCCAUGGUGUAGGUCGCAGAUGUGGCUCAGAUCUGGCAUUUCUGUGGUUCGGGUGUAGGCUGGCAGCUGCAGCUCUGAUUCAACCCCUAGCCUGGAAACUUCCGUAUGCCAUACCUACGGCUUUAAAAAGGAAAACAAAUAUUGGAACAUUGAUUUUUCUCACUUCAGAAUUUAAGUGAAAAAAAAAAAGGUAAUGUUUUAAGCUCCAGUGGAGACAGAAAAAUCUGUUUUUUAAUGUAUUAAGAAAGAAAACAUUUUUUGCAAUAAAAACAGUUUGUCUAUAAAAGAGGAUAUUUUGUAAUCUCAGGAUACUUACAAAGCCUACUUUUGAAUUCAGUGUUAAAAGUUCUAAUGAAAAUAUAUAAAAGUAUGCUACUAAAAGCGUAGUCAUAUGCUACUGAAAAUGCAAUGCCCAGGAAAUGGGCAAUGUUACACUUCACCUAAAAAAAAAUACAAAAAUACGCAAGUUGACUACCAGGGGCUGGUGAAAGGGAGAAACUGAGAGUGAUGAUUAGUGAGUAUAUGCUUUCUUUGGGGGAUGAUGAGAAUGUUCUGGAAUUGUACUGUGGGAAUGUUGCACAACUUUGUGAAUAAACUAAAACCCACCAACUUG